Molecule: ribosomal RNA, 459 nt
Filed under: uncultured bacterium
Lineage: Bacteria
Description: partial 16S ribosomal RNA
Rfam family: Bacterial small subunit ribosomal RNA
Source: RNAcentral
CCUACGGGUGGCAGCAGUGAGGAAUAUUGGUCAAUGGCCGGAAGGCUGAACCAGCCAUGCCGCGUGAAGGUCAGUGCCCUAUGGGCGUUAAACUUCUUUUGUUCGGGAGCAAUAAUGGUCACGUGUGGCCAGACGAGAGUACCGUACGAAUAAGCAUCGGCUAACCCCGUGCCAGCAGCCGCGGUAAUACGGGGGAUGCAAGCGUUAACCGGAUUUAUUGGGGUUUAAGGGUGCGUAGGCAGUGAGGUAAGUCAGCGGUGAAAUGCCCGAGCUUAACUCGGGAACUGCCUCUAAUACUGUUGAUCUAGAGAGUAGAUGCGGUAGGCGGAAUGUAUGAUGUAGCGGUGAAAUGCUUAGAGAUCAUACAGAACACCGAUUGCGAAGGCAGCUUACCAAUCUAUAUCUGACGUUGAGGCACGAAAGCGUGGGGAGCAAACAGGAUUAGAUACCCCGGUAGUC